UAAUUAAUUCACAUUUGUAUUUAAUUUCAUUUCUGUUACAAUUAGAUUUUUGUAGUCAUGUUAUCUCACUAUUUAUAGUACCAGAAAUACUUGCAUCUAGUAUUUGCUACCAGUACGGGUUAACAAUAAGAAUGGUGCAAUUUUAUAAUGAAUUAUGAAAAAUUAAAUUCUCCUACCAGAUCUAUUUUGAACCCAACAUUGAUUGUUAGAUAAGAUUGCCUUUGUGGAAGGUAUUUUCUAAACAUGUGUUCUGUCUAAACUCUUAAGUGCUAUAUUGUAUUCACAGUGCUAUACAUGUUUAUUGUGGGGGUGAUAGAAGUAAUGUAAUUCACUUUGCGUUACAAGUUUUCAGCCUUGACCUAUUUUACCAAUAUUUUUCGGCUACAACAAUUGUGGGGGCAAUAAUGCAUUGUAGGAAUCAAAUAUUUAUUCUUUGUUUUAAAUGUAUUUACAAGUGUUCAAUGCAAAAUAUUUUGAUAUAGUACAGAAGUUGUCAUUUCAAGAUAUAUAUAUUGCAAAAAAAUGCUGCAAAUAAAUGUCUCAGAAAGUGGAGGUAAAAAAAAGGCCUUCCAAAAUGAAAACAACUCUAGAAAUCAAAGUUAUUUGAUAUUUAAAUUUUGAAUUGGUUUAUUUUGUUCAGAACAACAUAAUUUUUAGGUUAAAAAUGUUAUUGAUAAAUGAUUUUUUGUUCUGAUUAUUAAAUGGAGUACAGUAUAAUUCACUUACAAGACAAUUUAGUUAUUAUUAGUCAUACUCACUUGCAUUGUGUCUAGUAAAUUGACAGAAAGAUUUAAAACCUUCAAUAUACCUAAAUACAGAAUGAAUCAUUCACAGUUGCAGAGUCACCACAAGACUUGACAUGUUAUGUAAACUGUAGUUUAUUUAAUCUCUGACAUUAUUAGAAUGUUUGUGUUUAGUGUUAAAGCAUUUUUUUCCACUAAUUUCAUGGUGUUCAUACUUGCUCUGCUUCAACAAUGUUCAAAAAUUUAACAGUGUAUAUUCAAAAAGCACAUUACAGAGUACAAAAAUGUAGUUUGGAAAACAAAUAUGGAAAUCCUGAAACUACAACAGCUCAAAUGGGAGUCUGUUCAAUGGAAAUCCAGAAACUGGAAAUGCACAAAAAGGAAUCAUUUAAACAGAAAUACUGAAAUUAAAAAGGCACAAAAAGGGAUCUUUAAAAAGAAAUCCUGACAUUAGACAUGUUAGAAAAGCACAAAUAGUGAUCUGUUAAACAAAUUGUACUCAUAGACAUGAUAGAAUAAUUUAUGUUAUUGUUUGUCCUGUGUAAUGCAGUUGAUGCUUGUAUUAAGUGUAUUGUUGAUUGUUAAUAAAGUAUUUGAAUU
RNAcentral lists this long non-coding RNA (1343 nucleotides) under Mytilus galloprovincialis (Mediterranean mussel). The record is from RNAcentral. Lineage: Eukaryota; Metazoa; Mollusca; Bivalvia; Mytilida; Mytilidae.